Molecule: ribosomal RNA, 253 nt
Filed under: uncultured bacterium
Lineage: Bacteria
Description: partial 16S ribosomal RNA
Rfam family: Bacterial small subunit ribosomal RNA
Source: RNAcentral
UACGGGGGGUGCAAGCGUUAUUCGGAAUUAUUGGGCGUAAAGAGCGCGUAGGCGGUCUUUUAAGUCAGAUGUGAAAGCCCGGGGCUUAACCCCGGAAGUGCAUUUGAAACUAAAGGACUUGAGUAUGGGAGAGGGAAGUGGAAUUCCUGGUGUAGAGGUGAAAUUCGUAGAUAUCAGGAGGAACACCGGUGGCGAAGGCGACUUCCUGGACCAAUACUGACGCUGAGGCGCGAAGGCGUGGGGAGCAAACAGG